This 466-nucleotide ribosomal RNA is filed under the name uncultured bacterium. RNAcentral's name for it is "bacterial SSU rRNA". It matches the Rfam family "Bacterial small subunit ribosomal RNA", at positions 335 to 799 of the family's 1533-position model. The record is from RNAcentral.
ACUCCUACGGGAGGCAGCAGUGGGGAAUAUUGGUCAAUGGGCGCAAGCCUGAACCAGCCAUGCCGCGUGCAGGAAGACUGCCUUAUGGGUUGUAAACUGCUUUUAUAUGGGAAGAAACCCCUCUACGUGUAGAGGCUUGACGGUACCAUAAGAAUAAGCACCGGCUAACUCCGUGCCAGCAGCCGCGGUAAUACGGAGGGUGCAAGCGUUAUCCGGAAUCAUUGGGUUUAAAGGGUCCGCAGGCGGUCAAUUAAGUCAGAGGUGAAAUCCUAUAGCUUAACUAUAGAACUGCCUUUGAUACUGGUUGACUUGAGUUAUACGGAAGUAGGUAGAAUGUGUAGUGUAGCGGUGAAAUGCAUAGAUAUUACACAGAAUACCGAUUGCGAAGGCAGCCUACUACGUAUAUACUGACGCUCAUGGACGAAAGCGUGGGAGCGAACAGGAUUAGAUACCCUGGUAGCGACUG